AGUGAACGCUGGCGGUAGGCCUAACACAUGCAAGUCGAACGGCAGCACAGGAGAGCUUGCUCUCUAGGUGGCGAGUGGCGGACGGGUGAGGAAUACAUCGGAAUCUGCCCAGUCGUGGGGGAUAACGUAGGGAAACUUACGCUAAUACCGCAUACGACCUUCGGGUGAAAGAGGGGGAUCGCAAGACCUCUCGCGAUUGGAUGAGCCGAUGUCGGAUUAGCUAGUUAGCGGGGUAAUGGCCCACCAAGGCGACGAUCCGUAGCUGGUCUGAGAGGAUGAUCAGACACACUGGAACUGAGACGCGGUCAAGACUCCUACGGGAGGCAGCAGUGGGGAAUAUUGGACAAUGGGCGCAAGCCUGAUCCAGCCAUACCGCGUGGGUGAAGAAGGCCUUCGGGUUGUAAAGCCCUUUUGUUGGGAAAGAAAUCUUUCAGGCUAAUACCCUGGGAGGAUGACGGUACCCAAAGAAUAAGCACCGGCUAACUUCGUG
This 490-nucleotide ribosomal RNA is filed under the name uncultured bacterium. Its description in RNAcentral is "partial 16S ribosomal RNA". It matches the Rfam family "Bacterial small subunit ribosomal RNA", at positions 29 to 507 of the family's 1533-position model. The record is from RNAcentral.